CUCAGUUUUUGUUAUGUAUGUUUGCUUUCAGCUGUGGACUAAAGGAUCUGAAAGGGAGAAAUCAAUUCUAAAUGCUAACUGAAAUGAAAAGGGCAUAUCACAAUCAAAUAUGAAAGUUCAUGUUUCUGUGAGGUCAGAGAAAGAGAUGGGGAGAUUUUCUUCACAGAUAAAGAAUUUGCUUUCUCCUCACUCAACACAUGCUUUAGAGCAAGAUGUUUAAAUCUUAUACUGGAUAAUUUGAGAUAGCCAUCUUACUUUUCUGACUCCAGGGUUAUAAAUACAUCCAGCUGUAUGACAAAAACUCUAUACUAAGCAAUUGAGCAUUUAUUCUUCUAAAGUGACACACACUUUUUAAGUAUUUAUGUGGGCACCUGAGAAAAAGACUCAG
Molecule: long non-coding RNA, 388 nt
Filed under: Homo sapiens (human)
Lineage: Eukaryota; Metazoa; Chordata; Mammalia; Primates; Hominidae
Description: HSALNT0127157
Source: RNAcentral